This 460-nucleotide ribosomal RNA is filed under the name uncultured bacterium. RNAcentral describes it as "SSU rRNA". It matches the Rfam family "Bacterial small subunit ribosomal RNA", at positions 26 to 518 of the family's 1533-position model. The record is from RNAcentral.
AGAAUCAACGCUGGCGGCGUGCCUAACACAUGCAAGUCGAACGAGAAAGUGGAGCAAUCCAUGAGUAAAGUGGCGCACGGGUGAGUAACACGUGACUAACCUACCCUUGAGUGGGGGAUAACCUAGAGAAAUCUGGGCUAAUACCGCAUAAUACCUUCGGGUCAAAGGAGCAAUUCGCUUUAGGAGGGGGUCGCGGCCGAUUAGUUAGUUGGCGGGGUAAUGGCCCACCAAGACUGUGAUCGGUAUCCGGCCUGAGAGGGCGCACGGACACACUGGAACUGAAACACGGUCCAGACUCCUACGGGAGGCAGCAGUGGGGAAUUUUGCGCAAUGGGGGAAACCCUGACGCAGCAACGCCGCGUGGAGGAUGAAGCCCCUUGGGGCGUAAACUCCUUUCGAUCGGGAAGAUAAUGACGGUACCGAGAGAAGAAGCCCCGGCUAACUUCGUGCCAGCAGCCGC